This 219-nucleotide long non-coding RNA is filed under the name Elaeis guineensis (African oil palm). RNAcentral's name for it is "long non-coding RNA (EGUI_LNC025318)". Lineage: Eukaryota; Viridiplantae; Streptophyta; Magnoliopsida; Arecales; Arecaceae. The record is from RNAcentral.
UCCCUCUUUUAAUCUGAAUUAGCUUGAAAACCACUUCAACCGUCCUGCCUUCUGAUCAUCUUGUCACCUACCACCCACCUUCUUCAACAAGGCCUGCCGUCACCCUACAACUUGUGACCAUUUUCGGUGUGCUAUAGUUGUUGAGCUGUUUAUUACCAUUUUGUCAUGUCCAGCCUUGCCUUGCCUCACCAAGCCAUGAUACAUUCUUCCUUUUUUUUC